AUUCCAGCUCCAGAAGCGUAUGCUAAAGUUGUUGCAGUUAAAAAGCUCGUAGUUGAAUUUCUGGUAGGGUUGACCUGGCGUUUGGAUGAAUGUCCAUUUAGCCGUGCGUCGGCCCAGCCAUCCUCCCCUUUUUCGGAAGGGGUCGUUCACUGUAAUCAAAUCAGAGUGUUCAAAGCAGGUCGUAGACCGGAAUGUUUAUUAUGGGAUGAUAAGAUAGGACUUGGGUGCUAUUUAGUUGGUUUGCACACUUGAGUAAUGAUUAAAAGGAACAGGUGGAGAUAUUCGUAUUUAGGAGCUAGAGGUGAAAUUCUUGGAUUUCCGAAAGACGAACUACUGCGAAGGCAUUUAUCAAAAAUGUUUUCAUUA
RNAcentral lists this ribosomal RNA (366 nucleotides) under Thraustochytriidae sp. RNAcentral describes it as "Thraustochytriaceae sp. partial small subunit ribosomal RNA". It matches the Rfam family "Eukaryotic small subunit ribosomal RNA", at positions 582 to 975 of the family's 1831-position model. The record is from RNAcentral. Lineage: Eukaryota; Bigyra; Thraustochytrida; Thraustochytriidae.